Long non-coding RNA from Antechinus flavipes (yellow-footed antechinus), 401 nucleotides. RefSeq lists it as uncharacterized. NCBI's taxonomy places the organism in Eukaryota, Metazoa, Chordata, Mammalia, Dasyuromorphia, Dasyuridae. The transcript is spliced from 3 exons. The record is from RefSeq and is a predicted model, not a curated record.
AUAAAAGUUGUCUGUACAUUGGAAUACUUCUAUAGACUGUGGGGUCCCCCUUUACCCAACUUGGAUGAAACUGUCCAUUUGGAAGAUUCCUUGAAAUAACUCCAAAGAUGUCUACUCUAGUAUUAUAGGAGAUGCUGAGAAAUCAGAAAAAACUUCUCUGGGAAGGGGACACCCGACUUGAGCCUUGAAUGAAGAUAAAGAUUCUAAGAGACAGAGGGGAAGGCAAAGUAUACUCUGGGCAAGACCUACAGUCCAUGCAAAAAUAUGGAGGCAGGAGAUAUCAUGACAAAUCAAGAACAGCAAAUCUGCUAGCUGGCUGGAACAUAGCAGAUGUGAAGGAAGGAAGAAAAAUUCAGAACAAGAGGAAAAACCAUAGAAGAAGGGAAAAAAACAGAAAAAAA